UCUCUGGUAGUCCAGUAGUCAGGACUCCGUGCUUUCUUUGCUGAGGGCCCGGGUUCAAUCCCUGGUCAGGGAA
RNAcentral lists this transfer RNA (73 nucleotides) under Bos taurus (domestic cattle). It matches the Rfam family "tRNA". Rfam says of the family: Transfer RNA (tRNA) molecules are approximately 80 nucleotides in length. Their secondary structure includes four short double-helical elements and three loops (D, anti-codon, and T loops). RNAcentral also lists the same sequence under 2 other names. Lineage: Eukaryota; Metazoa; Chordata; Mammalia; Artiodactyla; Bovidae. The record is from Rfam by way of RNAcentral.